This 169-nucleotide small nuclear RNA is filed under the name Crocodylus porosus (Australian saltwater crocodile). Its description in RNAcentral is "U2 spliceosomal RNA (ENSCPRG00005006079.1)". It matches the Rfam family "U2 spliceosomal RNA", at positions 46 to 185 of the family's 192-position model. Rfam says of the family: U2 is a small nuclear RNA (snRNA) component of the spliceosome (involved in pre-mRNA splicing). Complementary binding between U2 snRNA (in an area lying towards the 5' end but 3' to hairpin I) and the branchpoint sequence (BPS) of the intron results the bulging out of an unpaired adenosine, on the BPS, which initiates a nucleophilic attack at the intronic 5' splice site, thus starting the first of two transesterification reactions that mediate splicing. Lineage: Eukaryota; Metazoa; Chordata; Crocodylia; Crocodylidae. The record is from RNAcentral.
UUACCAGAGUAACCAUGUAGGCGAGCUCCCCAGGGUAAUUGUCUCUGAUAUGUCCUCCCUAGGAGGUCUAUAUGGAGCAGUUUCUUUUUGGUAUUGGGUGGUGGAACCGGAGCGUGCUCCAUCCACUCCAUGCAUUGACCUGGUAUUGCAGUGCUUCCAGGCCCGGUGC